RNAcentral lists this small RNA (891 nucleotides) under Letendraea sp. 1 NV-2015. RNAcentral's name for it is "eukaryotic LSU rRNA". It matches the Rfam family "Eukaryotic large subunit ribosomal RNA", at positions 50 to 960 of the family's 3401-position model. The record is from RNAcentral. Lineage: Eukaryota; Fungi; Ascomycota; Dothideomycetes; Pleosporales; Didymosphaeriaceae.
GCGGAGGAAAAGAAACCAACAGGGAUUGCCCUAGUAACGGCGAGUGAAGCGGCAACAGCUCAAAUUUGAAAUCUGGCUCCUUUGGGAGUCCGAGUUGUAAUUUGCAGAGGGUGCUUUGGCAUAGGCGGCGGUCUAAGUUCCUUGGAACAGGACAUCGCAGAGGGUGAGAAUCCCGUACGUGGGCGCCUGCCUUUGCCGUGUAAAGCCCCUUCGACGAGUCGAGUUGUUUGGGAAUGCAGCUCUAAAUGGGAGGUAAAUUUCUUCUAAAGCUAAAUACCGGCCAGAGACCGAUAGCGCACAAGUAGAGUGAUCGAAAGAUGAAAAGUACUUUGGAAAGAGAGUCAAAAAGCACGUGAAAUUGUUGAAAGGGAAGCGCUUGCAGCCAGACUUGCCCGCAGUUGCUCACCUAGGCUUCGGCCUGGGGCACUCUUCUGCGGGCAGGCCAGCAUCAGUUUGGGCGGUUGGAUAAAGGCCUCUGUCACGUAUCUCUCUUCGGGGAGACCUUAUAGGGGAGGCGUAAUGCAACCAGCCCGGACUGAGGUCCGCGCAUCUGCUAGGAUGCUGGCGUAAUGGCUGUAAGCGGCCCGUCUUGAAACACGGACCAAGGAGUCUAACAUCUAUGCGAGUGUUUGGGUGUCAAGCCCGGGCGCGUAAUGAAAGUGAACGGAGGUGGGAACCGCAAGGUGCACCAUCGACCGAUCCUGAUGUCUUCGGAUGGAUUUGAGUAAGAGCAUAGCUGUUGGGACCCGAAAGAUGGUGAACUAUGCUUGAAUAGGGUGAAGCCAGAGGAAACUCUGGUGGAGGCUCGCAGCGGUUCUGACGUGCAAAUCGAUCGUCAAAUUUGGGCAUAGGGGCGAAAGACUAAUCGAACCAUCUAGUAGCUGGUUCCUG